GCCACGCCCGAAGUCGUUACCCUAACCGCAAGGAGGGGGAUGCCGAAGGCAGGGCUAGUGACUGGGGUGAAGUCGUAACAAGGUAGCCGUACCGGAAGGUGUGGCUGGAUCACCUCCUUUUAGGGAGACCCUUUGCCAGCAGCAACCCAAAAAAAACGCUGUCUGAGCGAACAAUCCCAAGGUCGUGCCAGAAAAGAGUAAGCUUUCCAACUAACGAAGGGUUCGAGUUCUAAUCAGAACUAAACAAGCACCUUGAAAACUGCAUAGAAAAUAGAUAGAGAAAAACUGAUAGAUCAGAUUUAUUUGAUUAAACAGGUCAAGCUACAAAGAGCUAACGGUGGAUACCUAGGCACACAGAGG
Molecule: small RNA, 360 nt
Filed under: uncultured cyanobacterium
Lineage: Bacteria; Bacillati; Cyanobacteriota
Description: bacterial LSU rRNA
Rfam family: Bacterial small subunit ribosomal RNA (bases 1-120)
Source: RNAcentral